This 591-nucleotide long non-coding RNA is filed under the name Ananas comosus (pineapple). RNAcentral's name for it is "long non-coding RNA (ACOM_LNC041756)". The record is from RNAcentral. Lineage: Eukaryota; Viridiplantae; Streptophyta; Magnoliopsida; Poales; Bromeliaceae.
UCGGCUUCAACUUAAUUAAUACCGACUUCAUUAACCAAAUAAUUCCGACCUAUCUAUUUAUAGUUAAUUAUAUAGAAUCAUAUUCUAAUUCGAUUCCAUUUUAAUCACAAUUUAAAUAACAACUUGAUAAAAUCAAAUAAUCCAAUCCUAAUCUAACAAGUCAUUAGCAUUAUCUCUAACACUCCCCCAUAAUGCUAAUGAUGCUAAUAUUCUUCACAUCGAUCUUCUUUCGGCAAAAUAUGAAUUUCUCCAAUGGUAGUGACUUUAUGAAAAUAUCGGCAAUUUGCUCAUCGAUUACGUAGUGUAUCAACUCGAAUUCUUCUCGUAUGUUUUCGAUCAUCAACUGAACCUGUCCAAUCACUAUUAAAACAACCAAAAUAAAAAUCGUUACGGUUAGUAUACCACAACCGAUGGUGUCUUGUUCCUUUCAAAUAUCUUAAUAUCAUUUUCGCCUUAUAUAUCGACUUAAAUACAAUAACUUUUUUUAUCUAUAGGCGAUUCAACAAACUAGUAAAUAUUAUUUUUUCGUAACGCCGCAUUUUCGUUAUUCGUCGCUUUACACCAAUCAUUAGAUUUUGUCGCCUCCUCGAA